Molecule: non-coding RNA, 71 nt
Organism: Trichonephila clavipes
Lineage: Eukaryota; Metazoa; Arthropoda; Arachnida; Araneae; Nephilidae
Source: the annotation of a GenBank genome assembly
GUCCCAGUAGCGCAGUGGAUAGUGCGUUGGACUUCUAAUCGAAAAGUCGUGGUUCAAUCCCACCUGGGAUG